Small nucleolar RNA from Pyrus x bretschneideri (Chinese white pear), 87 nucleotides. RefSeq annotates it as small nucleolar RNA R24. NCBI's taxonomy places the organism in Eukaryota, Viridiplantae, Streptophyta, Magnoliopsida, Rosales, Rosaceae. The record is from RefSeq and is a predicted model, not a curated record. The transcript has a single exon.
GCUGCAGUGAUGAGCCUUAACAUGGGGAUCAAUUACGGAAUUUUUUCUUCAGUGAAAUCCUCUUGUUAUGCUUGGCUUAUGAGCGUG